Molecule: ribosomal RNA, 460 nt
Filed under: uncultured bacterium
Lineage: Bacteria
Description: partial 16S ribosomal RNA
Rfam family: Bacterial small subunit ribosomal RNA
Source: RNAcentral
CCUACGGGAGGCAGCAGUGAGGAAUAUUGGUCAAUGGGCGGGAGCCUGAACCAGCCAAGCCGCGUGAAGGAUGAAGGUUCUAUGGAUCGUAAACCUCUUUUAUAAGGGAAUAAAGUGUGGGACGUGUCCUGUUUUGUAUGUACCUUAUGAAUAAGGAUCGGCUAACUCCGUGCCAGCAGCCGCGGUAAUACGGAGGAUCCGAGCGUUAUCCGGAUUUAUUGGGUUUAAAGGGUGCGUAGGCGGCCUUUUAAGUCAGCGGUGAAAGUCUGUGGCUCAACCAUAGAAUUGCCGUUGAAACUGGGAGGCUUGAGUAUGUUUGAGGCAGGCGGAAUGCGUGGUGUAGCGGUGAAAUGCUUAGAUAUCACGCAGAACCCCGAUUGCGAAGGCAGCCUGCCAAGCCAUGACUGACGCUGAUGCACGAAAGCGUGGGGAUCAAACAGGAUUAGAUACCCCAGUAGUC